Molecule: long non-coding RNA, 1081 nt
Organism: Xyrauchen texanus (razorback sucker)
Lineage: Eukaryota; Metazoa; Chordata; Actinopteri; Cypriniformes; Catostomidae
Exons: 5
Source: RefSeq, a predicted model, not a curated record
CCUUCAGCUCACUCAAAGUCCCUCAUCGCCAUUUUGUGCAGCCAAACAUUUCACAAUCAACGUUUUGUCUUUGUGGACACAGAGAGUUUUGGAGUUCCUGAGUCCUACAUGUGGCUGUGCAGAGAUUGUGGCUCGUCUCACAUAUCAAGAUCAAAGCUUUUAAAAUACUUCAGGUAUCUGCAGAAUUCAGUAGGAUUACAACUAUCCCUUUGGUGUCCAAAUUUAUGGGUCAGCUGGAUCAUUUCUCAACCCAGCUCCUCAGAAUCUUCACAAAGAAAGGAGGAACAGCAACACAGAAGAUGACAAACAUCCUGUCAGUUAUGGAUCAGAAUGACACCAUCGAAAAAAGCGUGAAUGCAUCUUGAAAGCCCUUACUGUUUACAUGAGCGAAGACCCCUCAAACCUUAUGAAGGAGUACUUGGACGUUGAACAUGAUGAAGGCCAAACUUCAAUGCGAAACACCACCCUAGGCAUUUAUGUCGUCGUACAUGAAGGGGCAGAUGCUACAGACCCUUAUGAAGAUGUUGGCAUUAUCAUUGAAGGCGUCCAAAUACUUGAAGACCUGAACAUUGUGGCAAAUGCUUGUUCUGUGAUGCUUGGUCUAAUUUACACUUUAAACUUGGCUUACCCACAAGACCUGAGGUACACUUUUGAAGUAUUUAAAAAGAUUUUUAUGGAGCUAGAUGCAUACAAGCUGUCAAACAAGGUCCAGGUCCUGAAAAAUAAACUCCUUUCAGAAGCGCUGUAAAUUGAGGUCAGGACCAAGAGCCAGGACUUAUGUUUUCUCCAUAAUGUUGCACUGUUGUUUGGCUGUUGCAGUACAUAUAUUUAUGUACAUAAUACUGUUUUUUGUUUUUUUGUUCUUGUGCAAUUAAAAGGAGGCACACGAAGCAAAAGAAGACCGCUAUUAUUUUUUAAGUAUAACACUUGUAUGUGAAUAUUUUAUAAAUCCUUUAAUUUAAAGACAGCUUGCUUUUAUUUAUUUUUAUUUUCUUGUAAUAAGCAGAUUCUUUUCAUUUUGAAAAGAAAAGUUAGUCCUUUGAGAUUACAGAUUUUCAGAAUUGUUAUUGAAUGGAUUCAA